CCCUCCACGAUAGAAUAUGAAAUUGAAAAAUGAUGGCCAAGUUAGAACAUACCUAAGUAAUAUGAAGUACUGGUAAACAUUAUCAUAUUUUAAAAUAAAAGGACUUGUAUAUAGCUAUUGUUGGUGUAUAUUGAGCCCAUGUAUUAAUCUGCUAAUGGGUUGGGCCAAAACCAGUUUUAUGGGUUGGUUUUUUCAUUUGGGCCAACCAGUUUGGUGGUAAUCGGGCUGAGAUAGCUAAUGGAUUGGUUCGGUUUGGAUUCAUGAUUUAAGUGGGUCAAUCCGGUCUGGGCUGGUUUGCUCAUGGAUCCCGUCAUCUCAUCUGUCGUCCUCAUCGGCUCAGCAACGGCGGCAGCAGCGCAGCAGGUGCACAUGGCGUACUAGGACAUGCCGGGCGCUAAGAAGGCUGCCGGCAAGGCGUACUCAAGCUGCGACCCAUUCAAGCUGGAGCCCUGGAUCUCCGACCGCGUCGUGCUCCUCGUGGAGAACUCGCUGGCCGGCAGCAUCCACCGCAACUACGGUCUGAUGCUCCGGCACUAGCUCCACAUCGUCUGCAAGGUGAAGCUCCCCGUCCGUCUGUCCGUAGAUCCCCGUAGAUCCACUGGAUACUGCUCCCCUCUCCCAUGGAUCGAUAAGAAUCCUGCUAGCCUCAUGGAUUCCUAGCUCGAUCUCGCACUCUGGUUGCUAGCCCCUCAUUCUGCGUGUUCCUAACCCCAUGUAUUACUGUAAGCUGUACUUCUGAUUCUGAUCUGUGAUAUGGCAUAUUGACUCUAA
Panicum virgatum (switchgrass) is the source of this 771-nucleotide long non-coding RNA. RefSeq lists it as uncharacterized. The record is from RefSeq and is a predicted model, not a curated record. Lineage: Eukaryota; Viridiplantae; Streptophyta; Magnoliopsida; Poales; Poaceae. The transcript is spliced from 2 exons.